GACGCCGCCCAGGCGAUCGCUGGUCCGGCCCUCCGCGAGGAGGGACCGGGCGGGAGGAAAGUCCGAGCUCCGAAGAGCACGAUGCCGGGUAACGCCCGGUGACGGAAACGUCGAGGAAAGUGCAACAGAGAGAGACCGCCCGCGCCCGAGGCUCCGGCCUCCGCGCGGGCAAGGGUGAAACGGCGGGGUAAGAGCCCACCGCGCCCGCGGCAACGCGGGUGGCAUGGCAUACCCCAUCGGGAGCAAGGCCGCAUAGGCGGGCGCGCCGCGCGUUGCCUCACCCGCGAGGGUGGGGCCGCGCGCGGAUCGUAGGACGGCUCGUCCGAAGUCCGCGGGUUGGCUGCUCGAGGUCGUCGGUGACGGCGGCCCUAGAGGAAUGAUCGCCCCUCCGCGAGGAGCAAUCGUCGCGGGGUACAGAACUCGGCUUACGGACGACGUCGACC
Molecule: RNase P RNA, 443 nt
Filed under: Myxococcales bacterium
Lineage: Bacteria; Pseudomonadati; Myxococcota; Myxococcia; Myxococcales
Description: RNase P RNA component class A
Rfam family: Bacterial RNase P class A
About the family: Ribonuclease P (RNase P) is a ubiquitous endoribonuclease, found in archaea, bacteria and eukarya as well as chloroplasts and mitochondria. Its best characterised activity is the generation of mature 5'-ends of tRNAs by cleaving the 5'-leader elements of precursor-tRNAs.
Source: RNAcentral